Mauremys reevesii (Reeves's turtle) is the source of this 666-nucleotide long non-coding RNA. RefSeq lists it as uncharacterized. The transcript is spliced from 4 exons. The record is from RefSeq and is a predicted model, not a curated record. NCBI's taxonomy places the organism in Eukaryota, Metazoa, Chordata, Testudines, Geoemydidae.
GAGGUCUGUGGUGCCCUGAUGGAGAUGCUGGGGGAGCCUGGUGGUGUCUGUGAGGCCAGCCUGUCUGGCAAAAUCCUACAAACUCUUAUUUACCUGUGUAAUGUGAGCAAUCCCACUGACUGCAAUAAGAUCACUUGUAAAUAAAGAAAAACUGCAAGAAAACAAAAUCAACAGGGCAGAACCUCAUAAAACAAGCAGAGAAAACAGAAUGAAAUCCAUAGAAGAUUCACCACCACCCCCUACCACCCCCCAAAAAUGUACAGAUAAGCUACAGACAGUUGAAGAGAUGGAGAAUAAACUGGAUUUAAUGGAGGACCUGAAGAUGGGAUGGGCUUUGGAAAAGCCAAUCAUUUAGGUAAGGGAAGACAUGUAUCCUGUUCUCCUCAAGAAUGCCACCACCACUGCCAUGAAUUUUGUGAACAUGCGAGGAGCUGAUGUUACCACGAAGCUCAGAAACUUCCUGUGACUGGGUAGGGCUGAGAUGUGAAAGUGAGCAUCAUGAAAAUCAAGGGGAGAAAACCAAUUGUUUUGAUCCAUGGAGGGAAUGACAGAUGCUGGAGAAACCAUGCAGAAUCUCAUGUACUUGAUAAAUUUGAGAUUGCAAAGGUCCAAAAUGGGCCUUAGACUACCCUUUGAUUUGGGAAUUAGAAAAAAUAAAAUGGAUGU